AACACUGAAUGCCAUCAUGACGACGUUAGCUCCUCUGUUUCAACUUUUCCGUGCCUUCACGACAAUACUUUAAUGAAUGGAAUUAAAGCCUGUGCAGAGAAAGGUAACUGAAUUUGCUGCGUCUCGGGUUCGAGUCUCACUCACUCAAAUAUAAAUGUCGUUGUAGCAGUCUGUAAAAGCCAAAAGCUCAAGGAAAAUGGGAUCCCGCGUCAGCACAUAUGUUAUCCUGUGGGUUAAUCUCUUUACUCUGCUAGUGUCGAUAGGCGUGUUAGGAUACGGGACGUGGUUAGGUGCCAGACAUAGCGACGAUUGCAACAAGUUCCUCAGCGCGCCCGUUCUUGUCAUCGGAGCUUCCGUUUUUCUCAUAUCAUUGAUUGGAUUUGUAGGAGCUCUGAAAAACGUCCCGAUACUGUUAUGGAUCUAUCUUAUACUUAUGUUUUUGCUCCUAGCGGCGAUUGCGGCAUUUACAGUAUUUGCGUUCAUCAUAACAAACAACGGUGCUGGUCAUACAGUUUCUGGCCAAAGAUAUAAAGAAUAUCGUCUUGAAGACUAUUCACAGUGGUUUCAAAAGCAACUAAAUAAUACCAGUAACUGGAAACAUUUGAAGAGCUGUUUAGUAAAACCUGACUACUGUAACAAGUUGAUCAAAGAAUAUAAGACUCUUAAGCAAUAUAAAAGGGCCAAAUUAAGUCCAAUAGAAGCUGGUUGCUGCAGACCACCUUCUGAGUGUGGUUAUCCAGCCAAAAAUGCGUCCUAUUAUGAUUUAAGCUUUAACCCUGUCAGUUCAAACAAGGAUUGCAAACGGUACAAAAAUAAGCGAUCGGUCAAGUGUUACAACUGCAAUUCUUGCAAGGCUGGAGUAGCACAAUAUUUGAAGAGGGAAUGGAAGGUUGCUGCAAUAUUCAAUGUCAUUGCUUUUGCCGUGCUGGUUCUUCUCUACUGUGUUGGAUGCUAUGCCAGGCGAAAUGCUUCCAGAUCUCAUAACUCUAAAUUCUGAAAGAUCUUCAGGAGAUGGCUGUUUCUUUUUUUGAUGUUAGGCAGAGGGCCGAGAGUUUUUUUGUCAGGCUUCAGUAAUUCGUGUGUGCCAGAUCUCUAAUUCGCAUGUGAAGGCUACAUUUGCUUGGAUGGCUUUUGGUACUCUUGGUCAUUUACAUUCUGCAGAUCCUGGGAGGGUCUCCGUAGCAACAAAGUGUUCUUUGCAUCUGUGAUCAUAACACCUGCAGUGUUUUCUGUAGGGUAUUGAUUACGAUGACCAUUAGGGAGGGUGUUAAAAUAAUAUUAAUAUCUUCUAUAAUGGUCAUCUUCUAUUUUUAGUGGUCAUAUUCUAUUUUAAGUUGUUGACUUAUUUAGCUUGUUAAGUUAGCUUUUUAUUAUGUAAUUAUCUUUUAAGCUUUAUUUAGCUUUCACACUUAAUUUAGUGUUUAGCUCUUUAAUCUUUUACUUUAUCGUUAUGUUCUAAUUAUAGAACAUCGUCUUGUAACCUCUAUAUAUAGGUGCGUAUAUCGUUCAAUGUAAUCAUCCGAUUAUUGAAUCAUUCAUUCAAUUUAAUUUUCAA
Molecule: RNA transcript, 1555 nt
Organism: Cryptomeria japonica (Japanese cedar)
Lineage: Eukaryota; Viridiplantae; Streptophyta; Pinopsida; Cupressales; Cupressaceae
Gene name: tetraspanin-10
Exons: 13
Source: RefSeq, a predicted model, not a curated record